GACGAACGCUGGCGGCGUGCCUAAUACAUGCAAGUAGAACGCUGAAGAGAGGAGCUUGCUCUUCUUGGAUGAGUUGCGAACGGGUGAGUAACGCGUAGGUAACCUGCCUUGUAGCGGGGGAUAACUAUUGGAAACGAUAGCUAAUACCGCAUAACAAUGGAUGACACAUGUCAUUUAUUUGAAAGGGGCAAUUGCUCCACUACAAGAUGGACCUGCGUUGUAUUAGCUAGUAGGUGAGGUAAUGGCUCACCUAGGCGACGAUACAUAGCCGACCUGAGAGGGUGAUCGGCCACACUGGGACUGAGACACGGCCCAGACUCCUACGGGAGGCAGCAGUAGGGAAUCUUCGGCAAUGGGGGCAACCCUGACCGAGCAACGCCGCGUGAGUGAAGAAGGUUUUCGGAUCGUAAAGCUCUGUUGUAAGUCAAGAACGGGUGUGAGAGUGGAAAGUUCACACUGUGACGGUAGCUUACCAGAAAGGGACGGCUAACUACGUGCCAGCAGCCGCGGUAAUACGUAGGUCCCGAGCGUUGUCCGGAUUUAUUGGGCGUAAAGCGAGCGCAGGCGGUUUGAUAAGUCUGAAGUUAAAGGCUGUGGCUCAACCAUAGUUCGCUUUGGAAACUGUCAAACUUGAGUGCAGAAGGGGAGAGUGGAAUUCCAUGUGUAGCGGUGAAAUGCGUAGAUAUAUGGAGGAACACCGGUGGCGAAAGCGGCUCUCUGGUCUGUAACUGACGCUGAGGCUCGAAAGCGUGGGGAGCGAACAGGAUUAGAUACCCUGGUAGUCCACGCCGUAAACGAUGAGUGCUAGGUGUUGGAUCCUUUCCGGGAUUCAGUGCCGCAGCUAACGCAUUAAGCACUCCGCCUGGGGAGUACGACCGCAAGGUUGAAACUCAAAGGAAUUGACGGGGGCCCGCACAAGCGGUGGAGCAUGUGGUUUAAUUCGAAGCAACGCGAAGAACCUUACCAGGUCUUGACAUCCCGAUGCUAUUUCUAGAGAUAGAAAGUUACUUCGGUACAUCGGUGACAGGUGGUGCAUGGUUGUCGUCAGCUCGUGUCGUGGGAUGUUGGGUUAAGUCCCGCAACGAGCGCAACCCCUAUUGUUAGUUGCCAUCAUUCAGUUGGGCACUCUAGCGAGACUGCCGGUAAUAAACCGGAGGAAGGUGGGGAUGACGUCAAAUCAUCAUGCCCCUUAUGACCUGGGCUACACACGUGCUACAAUGGUUGGUACAACGAGUUGCGAGUCGGUGACGGCGAGCUAAUCUCUUAAAGCCAAUCUCAGUUCGGAUUGUAGGCUGCAACUCGCCUACAUGAAGUCGGAAUCGCUAGUAAUCGCGGAUCAGCACGCCGCGGUGAAUACGUUCCCGGGCCU
RNAcentral lists this ribosomal RNA (1369 nucleotides) under uncultured bacterium. RNAcentral describes it as "bacterial SSU rRNA". It matches the Rfam family "Bacterial small subunit ribosomal RNA", at positions 28 to 1381 of the family's 1533-position model. The record is from RNAcentral.